UAAGCUUAAACUUUAAGGAUAAUUGGGAAAAAUGAAUUGUUUGACCGUAUUAAUUUGAGAAAAGAGUUCAACAAGCACAAAUGUACAGGAGCAUGUUAUUAGAUGUUUGGUUGAUAUCAUUGGGUGCACUAUCUUGAAAUGGCAAUUUAUGCUAUCUAGCAGUCCUUCUUGGGGGCAAUCCUUGUUUAAGUCCUUGUUGUCUUUAAUUUUUGCCUCUGUUUAGAAUCUUGUCGGUAUAACUGAGAGAAUAUAGACUAUGAGGGAUUUUUUGUUGUUUAGGUGGGAGAGCCAUUUUGGGAUCAUUUGAUUAGAUGAGAGAUUUGUUGCCAAUCAAAAAGGGAUGUGACUUUUGGCAUUGGGAACCCAGUGUCCAAAAACCUGCUUUCCUGGCUAAAUGAUUAUGGUGUCUUCUUUCUGAACCUUGUCCUUUUGUUACAUAGUGGUCAAAACAAAUUUGAGUUGCACUAGAGCAGUUGGGUUAUGGAGCUGGAUCAACUACUGGAAACUAUUGCCUUAGGUGUACUGUUCGUUUCUCCCUUUCUGAUUGGUGAUAGGGUUUCGUUUCUAUUUCCUCUUUCAGGUAAGGCCACAGGUUAGGGAGGUGUCCUCUCACCUCUCAUUUUCCUCAUCUCUAAAGACUUUCUUCUAGGCACUUUGUUCUUGCAUUCUCUAUCAUAACUAAUUUAGAUGGUCAUGCAGAAUCUUUUCUUUUGCUUCAGGCACACUAAUUAUCCAAAAACAUGAGGUUUAUUCCACUAAUUGAUCUUCUCAAUUCAUUUUGUCCUAUUUUCAGAGAUAAUACUAGAAUUUUGAUCCUUGAUUUCUCAAAUGUUUGCAUGUGCAAGAUUCUCUUGGAGUUUUUUACCCCUCAUCCUACAACCCAAGACAUUGCCGUAUCACAAACCUUUUGGAGGUCAAAGUUCUCUCUAAGAU
Molecule: long non-coding RNA, 933 nt
Filed under: Carica papaya (papaya)
Lineage: Eukaryota; Viridiplantae; Streptophyta; Magnoliopsida; Brassicales; Caricaceae
Description: long non-coding RNA (CPAP_LNC011103)
Source: RNAcentral